This 548-nucleotide unclassified non-coding RNA is filed under the name Melitaea cinxia (Glanville fritillary). RNAcentral describes it as "misc RNA ENSMCXG00005021271.1". Lineage: Eukaryota; Metazoa; Arthropoda; Insecta; Lepidoptera; Nymphalidae. The record is from RNAcentral.
AUCAAGGAUCACGCCGAUUAAAAAAUCCUUUAAAACAAAUGAUGUUGAGAGCACUGAGAGUGAAUCUAUGAUUGAUCUAAAUACUGAGCCUAUGCUCUUGUAGUAAUUCCUUCCAACGACAAUUUAGAAGGAACCUGAUAAGAGCGAUGAAGCUGCGUGUGAAAGUAUAAUGGAACCUAAAGGCAUCACAAACUACCUACGAACAUCUUGCGAAAUAUUUGCAGCGUAUUAUUUGCACUGAAAUGUCUAAAGUAAAAAAAAAGCGUCAAUUACACCAUUGGACAACAAGUUAAAAAAAUAUUAGAAGUCGUCCAGCAGUCAGGAGAUGCACCGAGUAAACAAAGAGCUUGGAAUAUUAUCGGUGACGCCUUGCCAUACAAAGACAUUGCGACAUUUGUAGUUUUAUAAAUCUUUAAAAGAUAACGAGGAAAAACGCAAAGCAUUGGUAUUUAAAAACUAUCCAAAUAUUAUUCACAAAGAUUUACAAAUUAUUAAAAUAUUGUUAGCAAAAGAUUGAAAAAUUAUAGGUUGUCACCGGUAGAACAAGC